This 45-nucleotide unclassified non-coding RNA is filed under the name Leishmania tarentolae. RNAcentral describes it as "guide RNA". The record is from RNAcentral. Lineage: Eukaryota; Euglenozoa; Kinetoplastea; Trypanosomatida; Trypanosomatidae.
AAUACUAACAAUGGUUAACUCUAGUGGGUAAAAUCAAAGUGAUAU